Prosopis cineraria is the source of this 899-nucleotide long non-coding RNA. RefSeq lists it as uncharacterized. NCBI's taxonomy places the organism in Eukaryota, Viridiplantae, Streptophyta, Magnoliopsida, Fabales, Fabaceae. The transcript is spliced from 2 exons. The record is from RefSeq and is a predicted model, not a curated record.
AAAAGUUUUCCACAUGAAUUUAUGCUAUUUCUUCAAAUGGAUGUGUUCGAAUAUAUUCAUCAGUAUAUAUUAGUGAUCAAAUUGUUUCUAUGAUCCAAUAUACCUCUCAAGUAUGUCCCGUUUUUCAAAGGGUUCCUCAUGGAGCGGUGCCUCAUCGCGCCGUUGUAUGGUUGCAGACCCUACGAUUAAGGCCAAGCUCUGCUCAUGGUCGAGUGAAGAAUUUCAUGAUGAGUAUGCCCUCAUUUACACUUCUCGUUCCAACCCAUCACGCACUUGCAUUUCUUACUAUAGAGUGAAUUGCGAUGAGGUGCUUUUUACACUCCAUGAUUGCUUGUGUGAAGGAAAUACCGUGAGAAUAGACAUGGAGAUCGUGGGUCAACGAUACAGUGGCCCUUUUUAGACUCGCCAUGCUUCCUUUGAUAGACCUUGGGGAAAAUUUAUAGAAAGAAUAACUGAACCAGGACUGCGCCGACGAUGGAGGUAUCAAGAUAAGUUUGGAGAUAGAGAAGGAUUUUUGCAGUAUAAUAAAUUCACAGAAGAUGAACUUCAGAUUCAAUUCUGCACAGGGCUUGAUGAAGGCAAUGUUAGAUGUCAAGAGAAAAAUCCGAAGAGAAGAGGCUUGGCACAGGCAAGAAGAGUCUGUCCCCAACACUGAACGCUAUUUGGAAUUCAGGGAGCACUCUAGGUAGCCUCAAUAACUCUACGUUGGCAGACUGUCAGAUUAAGGUUAAGAGUAAAAUCAAAUAUGUUGUAAACUGAAAUGUUUAGUCUAUGUGAAGAAGACAAGGAGAUCAGAUUAUCUUAUAGAACAAUCCGAAUGGAUGUUUCUGUCUGUGUAUGUAUACAUAUGAUUAUCAAUAUAUCAAUGUAUGCAAUAAAAUUUAGUGCAUAUUAUACCA